GUUCCAUUCAUUUCCGUAGGCAUUGCCACCUCCGCCUUCCCUCCUCUCUUUUCCUUCGUCUUCUCCAUUUGACACAGAGUAACUCUUCCUUUCUCUGAAAGGAUUUUAGGGUUUUAUAGGCUUUGGGAGGAGAUUGAAGGGGCUGUCACACACGUACGUCGGAUAUGGGGACUUGCCGGAGGCAGUUGAAGGCCAUGCUUCGCAAGAAUUGGCUUCUUAAAAUUCGUCACCCUUUUGUUACAGCUGCUGAGAUUCUGCUUCCUACUAUUGUAAUGUUACUGUUAAUAGCUAUAAGGACACGAGUUGAUACCCGAAUUCAUCCUGCACAGCCGUAUAUUCGAGAAGAUAUGUUUGUGGAAGUGGGGAAAGGAAUUUCCCCUAAUUUCCAACUAGUUCUGGAAUCAUUGUUGGCAGAGGAGGAGUUUUUGGCUUUUGCACCAGAUACAGAAGAAACAAGGAUGAUGAUCCACUUCCUGUCGAUGAAGUUUCCUUUAAUUAGGGAAGUUUCUAGAGUCUACAAAGAUGAAGUUGAGUUGGAAACCUAUAUAUGCUCAGAUCUUUAUGGUGCCUGCAAUGGAGUCAAGAAUUGUUCAAAUCCCAAAAUCAAAGGAGCUGUUAUAUUUCAUGAUCAAGGUCCUCAGUUAUUUGAUUAUAGCAUACGUCUUAAUCACACGUGGGCUUUCUCAGGGUUUCCUGAUGUUAAAACCAUCAUGGACGUAAAUGGUCCUUACCUAAAUGACUUGGAAUUGGGUGUUAGUCGCAUACCAACAAUGCAAUACAGCUUCAGCGGAUUUUUCACUCUACAGCAGGUAGUGGAUUCAUUCAUAAUAUUUUCUGCUCAGCAAACUGGGACUAAGGCAGCAGGUGGACAUAUAGAGCUGCCAUCAUCCAAUUCGUCUAUCUCUUCGUUGCUCAAAGUGCCGUGGAUGCAAUAUAGCCCUUCGAAAAUUAGAAUUGCUCCCUUUCCAACUCGUGAAUACACCGACGAUGAAUUCCAAUCAAUUGUCAAGACUGUCAUGGGAGUACUCUACCUGUUGGGAUUUCUCUACCCGAUCUCUCGCCUUAUCAGCUAUUCAGUGUUCGAGAAGGAACAGAAGAUAAGAGAAGGUCUCUACAUGAUGGGCUUGAAAGAUGGAAUAUUUCAUCUCUCUUGGUUUAUUGCAUAUGCUUUACAGUUUGCAAUUUCAUCUGGGAUUAUUACAGGUUGCACCAUGAAUAACCUUUUCCAGUAUAGCGAUAAGUCGGUGGUGUUUGUGUAUUUUUUCUCCUUUGGACUCAGUGCAAUUAUGCUGUCAUUUUUGAUCUCUACAUUCUUCACUCGAGCAAAAACAGCUGUUGCAGUUGGAACCCUUUCUUUUCUUGGCGCCUUCUUUCCCUAUUAUACUGUGAAUGAUGAGGCUGUCCCUAUGAUACUGAAGGUCCUUGCUUCUUUGCUUUCACCUACGGCUUUUGCUCUAGGAUCGAUCAACUUUGCUGAUUAUGAGCGUGCUCAUGUUGGGCUUCGUUGGAGCAACAUAUGGCGAGGGUCAUCUGGAGUAAAUUUUUUGGUCUGUCUCUUGAUGAUGUGGCUUGACACGCUGCUAUAUUGUGCUGUUGGUCUAUACCUUGACAAGGUUAUUCCGAGGGAAAAUGGAGUGCGUUACCCUUGGAACUUCUUAUUCAAGAAUUGCUUCUGGAGAAAGAAAAGUAUGAUCAAACAUCAUGUCCCAAGUUUGGAAGUUAAACUUAACGGCAAGCUUUCUAACUUGGGAAAUGACACUGUUGAACCUGCUGUUGAGUCAAUAAGCUUGGAUAUGAAACAACAAGAACUUGACAACAGAUGCAUCCAAAUAAGGAACCUGCAUAAGGUGUAUGCUACUAAAGGUGGGAGUUGUGCUGCUGUUAAUUCACUGCAUCUCACCUUGUAUGAAAAUCAGAUUCUUGCUCUUCUUGGACACAACGGAGCGGGCAAAAGCACAACUAUUUCAAUGCUUGUUGGUCUUCUUCCUCCUACUUCAGGGGAUGCGUUGCUGUUUGGAAAGAAUAUUCUGACAGACAUGGAUGAGAUACGGAAUGGACUUGGUGUGUGCCCCCAGCAUGAUAUUCUUUUCCCAGAACUGACUGUGAGGGAGCAUUUGGAAAUGUUUGCUACGCUGAAGGGUGUAAAGGAAGAGAUUCUGGAGACCAGUGUAACUGAUAUGGUUGAUGAAGUGGGUUUGGCUGACAAAGUGAACACUGUUGUGAGGGCUCUUUCGGGUGGCAUGAAAAGGAAAUUAUCUCUUGGAAUUGCCCUGAUAGGAGACAGUAAGGUUAUAAUUCUUGAUGAACCUACCAGUGGAAUGGAUCCAUAUUCGAUGCGAUUGACAUGGCAAUUAAUCAAAAAAAUAAAAAAGGGCAGGAUAAUUUUGCUAACAACCCACUCAAUGGAUGAAGCUGAUGAACUAGGAGAUCGGAUAGCUAUCAUGGCUAAUGGUUCUUUGAAAUGCUGUGGAAGCUCUCUCUUCUUGAAGCAUCAGUAUGGGGUUGGUUAUACUCUUACUUUAGUGAAGUCUGCACCUACUGCCUCUGCAGCUGCUGAUAUUGUUUACCGCCAUAUUCCAUCAGCAAUAUGUGUGAGUGAGGUUGGAACUGAGAUUUCCUUUAAGCUUCCUUUGGCAUCUUCCUUGUCCUUUGAGAGCAUGUUCAGGGAAAUUGAAAGUUGCAUGAGAGUCUCGAAGUCAAAAAUAAGUAGCAGUGAGGACAAAAAUUAUCUUGGCAUUGAGAGUUAUGGAAUCUCAGUCACGACUCUGGAGGAGGUAUUUCUGAGAGUUGCAGGAUGCGACUAUGAUGGGACUGAUGGUUUCGAGCAGAGGAGUAAUAUUCUUUCAUCUGGUUCUGUGGUUCCUACAGCUUCUCACAAUCAUGGCUCGAAAAGAGUUUUUGGUUCCAAACUCCUAGGAAAUUAUAGAAAGUUUAUCGGGUUCAUUUCUGCAUUAGUGGGGAAAGCAUGUGGUUUAAUGGUUGCGACAGUUUUAAGUUUCAUUAAUUUUAUAGGCAUGCAGUGCUGUAGCUGUUGUAUCAUUUCAAGAUCAACAUUUUGUCAACAUACCAAGGCAUUAUUUAUAAAGAGGGCAAUAUCUGCUAGGAGAGACCGGAAAACAAUUGUUUUCCAGCUUCUAAUUCCUGCUGUAUUCUUGCUUUUUGGUCUUCUUUUUCUCAAAAUUAAGCCACAUCCAGAUCAGCAAUCUGUUAGCUUGACAACUUCACAUUUUAAUCCUCUCUUAAGUGGAGGUGGUGGUGGUGGUCCCAUUCCUUUUGAUCUGUCCCAGCCUAUUGCAAGAGAGGUUGUAAAAUACAUUAAAGGUGGUUGGAUUCAAAGCUUUGAAAAGAGUGUGUAUAAAUUCCCUGAUUCAGAGGGGGCAUUAGCUAAUGCCAUCAAAGCUGCGGGGCCAACUUUGGGACCUGUUUUACUUUCAAUGAGUGAAUUCUUAAUGUCUAGCUUUAAUGAAUCUUACCAGUCGAGGUAUGGAGCAGUUGUGAUGGAUGAUCAGAAUGAUGAUGGAAGUUUGGGAUAUACUGUACUGCAUAAUAGUUCUUGUCAGCAUGCUGCUCCAACUUAUAUCAAUGUAAUGAAUGCAGCAAUUCUUAGGCUUGCUACUGGUGACAAAAAUAUGACAAUUAGAACUCGCAAUCACCCUUUGCCAAUGACAAAGAGCCAGCACUUGCAACGACAUGACUUGGAUGCCUUCUCUGCUGCUGUUAUUAUUAAUAUCGCCUUCUCAUUUAUUCCUGCUUCAUUUGCUGUUGCCAUUGUGAAGGAACGUGAAGUGAAGGCCAAGCACCAACAGUUGAUUAGUGGGGUUUCUGUACUUUCAUAUUGGGCUUCUACAUAUAUUUGGGACUUCAUCAGCUUCUUAUUUCCUUCAUUUCUCGCAAUAGUUCUUUUCUACAUCUUUGGUUUGGAUCAGUUUAUUGGAAGGGAUUGUUUCUUUCCAACACUUCUGAUAUUUUUGGAGUAUGGACUAGCAAUUGCAUCUUCAACAUACUGCCUUACAUUCUUGUUUUCUGAUCACACCAUGGCUCAGAAUGUGGUUCUUUUGGUCCACUUCUUCACCGGACUGGUUCUUAUGGUUAUCUCAUUCAUAAUGGGGCUUAUAGAGACAACAAGAAGUGCAAAUAACUUUCUCAAGAAUAUCUUCAGAAUAUCACCUGGGUUUUGCUUCGCUGAUGGACUUGCUUCACUGGCCCUUCUACGACAAGGGAUGAAAGAUAAAUCUAGUGACACAGUUUUUGAUUGGAAUGUUACUGGUGCCUCCAUUUGUUACCUUGGCAUUGAGAGCAUUAUUUACUUUCUCUUGACAAUUGGGCUUGAACUGUUGCCUUCUCACAAGUUAACUCCAGUUACAAUCAAGCAAUGUUGGAGGAAUUUUAAAAAUUUCUGGCAUGGUUCUUCAGGAUUUUCUGAACCUCUUCUAAAAUUUCCGUCAGAAGUUGUUGGUGUUGACUUUGAGGAAGAUAUAGAUGUGCAAACAGAAAGAAACAGAGUACUAUCAGGAUCUGUUGACAAUGCCAUCCUUUACUUACGCAAUCUUCAGAAGGUAUAUCCUGGAGGAAAAUAUGGCAUGAAAGUUGCUGUGCAUUCAUUGACUUUCUCAGUUCAACCAGGAGAAUGUUUUGGAUUUUUAGGAACAAAUGGAGCUGGGAAGACUACAACUCUGUCGAUGUUAUCUGGUCUGCAACAAUUCUUGACCAUGAUAUUAUGAUUGCAUGCAUGAAGCAAUUGAAUGUUCUAGUCUAUAUUUUCCUACAUAUGCUAUAACACAUUGGUGAAUUCACUUGGUUAAUUUAUUGGAGGAGCUCACUUACACAAUAAAAUGUCAGUGAUAAUUGAUUGUGUUACAGAAACCAUGCUAUAUCAAUUUGAUUAUAAAAAAUUUUUAAAUGAGGUUGAUUCUGGUCUUCCUUUUAAAAUUAUUUCAGGAGAAGAAUCUCCAACUGAUGGAACUGCCUUUAUUUUUGGCAAAGAUAUACGUUCAAAUCCCAAGGCUGUUCGUCGGCAUAUUGGAUAUUGCCCCCAAUUUGAUGCUUUAUUGGAAUUCUUAACUGUCAGAGAGCAUCUUGAGCUUUAUGCAAGAAUAAAAGGAGUUGCAGAUUACAGGAUGGAAGAUAUUGUCAUAGAAAAGAUGGUGGAGUUUGACCUGUUGAGGCAUGCUGAUAAACCAUCUUUCGCCCUUAGUGGGGGAAACAAGCGCAAAUUAUCUGUUGCAAUUGCAAUGAUCGGAGAUCCUCCAAUAGUAAUUCUUGAUGAGCCAUCAACAGGUAUGGAUCCUAUUGCCAAACGAUUCAUGUGGGAAGUGAUAUCCCGUCUAUCCACUAGACAAGGAAAGACGGCUGUAAUUCUUACAACCCACAGCAUGAAUGAAGCUCAGGCACUGUGCACACGUAUUGGAAUAAUGGUUGGAGGCAGAUUAAGAUGCAUUGGAAGUCCCCAGCAUCUGAAAACACGAUUUGGGAAUCACCUUGAGCUAGAGGUUAAACCCUCUGAGGUUAGCUCAGUGGACUUGGAAAAUCUUUGCCAAAUUAUUCAAGAAAGGCUUCUGAACAUUCCUUCACAUCCAAGAAGCUUACUUGACGACAUUGAAGUUUGCAUUGGAGCAGUUGACUGCAUCACAUCUGAAAAUGCUUCAGUGGCAGAGAUCAGCUUGUCCCAAGAAAUAAUAAUGUUGAUUGGACGCUGGCUUGGCAAUGAAGAAAGAGCGCACACACUUUUAUCAACGCCAGUUUCUGAUGGGGUUUUUGGUGAACAGUUAGCAGAGCAGUUGGUUCGAGAUGGUGGGAUACCACUACCAAUAUUUUCUGAGUGGUGGUUAGCCAAAGAAAAGUUUUCAGCUAUUGAUUCAUUUGUGCUGUCUUCAUUUCCUGGUGCUACAGUUCAAGCGUGCAAUGGUUUGAGUGUUAAAUAUCAGCUGCCAUACAGAGACGGGCUCUCGCUUGCAGAUGUUUUUGGACACCUGGAGCAAAAUAGAAAUCAACUGGGCAUAGCAGAAUACAGUAUCAGCCAGGCAACUCUCGAAACCAUCUUUAAUCAUUUUGCAGCAAGUUUGUGAGUAAACAUUAGUUCUCUGAACACCGUUGUUUACCACUCUUUCCUUUUGUUACCUUGGAGGGAUCAUAGGAGAUGCUUCUGCCUACUGUAAUGGAAAGAAAGAAAGAAAAAAAUUUCAUCUGUAACUGUGAAUAUACAUCGAAGCAUAAUUAAAAAAAAAAUGUAGGAAUGCUUCUGGGGAAUUUCCCUUCCCCUCACACAUGAUGAUUACCAACCUUGUCUCCUUGGCCAUACAUGUGCUCUUUCACUUUAUAAAAGAAAAUUUUGAAUUCACUGGCAAGCUUAUUCUUAACAAAAUUACUGUGAAAAGUAUAUAGCAUGUACAGUAGAUAAAAGUUUCUAUAUGUAUAUAUAAAUUUUGAGUCAGGUUUAUUCGAGUCGAGUUUGUCACAGGUUAUGUUUCAAUUUGUACUAAAGCUUUCUCUACAUUAAAAGAGUACUUAUUGGAGAAGUUUAAUUUAGC
This 6527-nucleotide unclassified non-coding RNA is filed under the name Hevea brasiliensis (rubber tree). The record is from RNAcentral. Lineage: Eukaryota; Viridiplantae; Streptophyta; Magnoliopsida; Malpighiales; Euphorbiaceae.